GGGGGAUAUAUUUUUAAUUAGCUUAGUGUCAUUACAAUAGCAUUGUGUUUGGAGAAUUCAUUGAUCUUGGGAUUUCUUGGUACAAGAUUGGCUAUCUUUUGUUGUAUGCCAACCACAUCAUCAAGUGGAGUUGCACUCACACAAGUAUGCAUUUUCACUUCUUCUCAUUGAUCUCCCUUCCUUUUGUUUUGACUGUAAAUAUAUCUCCUGUAAUA
Molecule: unclassified non-coding RNA, 215 nt
Filed under: Hevea brasiliensis (rubber tree)
Lineage: Eukaryota; Viridiplantae; Streptophyta; Magnoliopsida; Malpighiales; Euphorbiaceae
Source: RNAcentral